RNAcentral lists this ribosomal RNA (478 nucleotides) under uncultured bacterium. RNAcentral's name for it is "partial 16S ribosomal RNA". It matches the Rfam family "Bacterial small subunit ribosomal RNA", at positions 28 to 523 of the family's 1533-position model. The record is from RNAcentral.
GACGAACGCUGGCGGCGUGCUUAACACAUGCAAGUCGAACGGUAAGGCCCUUCGGGGUACACGAGUGGCGAACGGGUGAGAAACACGUGGGUGAUCUGCCCUGCACUUCGGGAUAAGCCUGGGAAACUGGGUCUAAUACCGGAUAGGACUCCGGACUGCAUGGUCUGGGGUGGAAAGCUUUUGCGGUGUGGGAUGGGCCCGCGGCCUAUCAGCUUGUUGGUGGGGUGAUGGCCUACCACGGCGACGACGGGUAGCCGGCCUGAGCGGGUGACCGGCCAAUCUGGGACUGAGGAGCGUCCCAGACUACAACGGGAGGCAGCAGUGGGUAAUAUUGCACAAUGGGCUGAAGCCUGAUGCAGGGACGCCGCGUGAGGGAUGACGGCCUUCUGGUUGUAAACCUCUUUCAGCAUCGACGAAGCGAAAGUGACGGUAGGUGCAGAAGAAGGACCGGCCAACUACGUGCCAGCCGCCGCCGUAA